CUCCAACCCCUGUGACAUACCUAUCGUUGCUUCCGUGGAUCCGCCCCGGCGCCCUCGGGCCCGGAUCAGGCGCCCGCCGGACACCCCAAACUCUUGUAUUUCUUUAAUAUCUUCUGAGUAAACAAGCAAAUAAAUUAAAGAUUUAAAAAAAAGAUCUCUUGGUUCUGGCAUCGAUGAAGAACGCAGCCGGCAUCGAUGAAGAACGCAGCCGGCCAAUUACGGAGUGAGGGCCUCUGGGUCCCCCUCCCACCGCGCUUUAUUUUACUUGUUGGUUCGCGGGCCGCCGUUACUGGCGCCGGGGGCUCAGCUCCGGGC
Molecule: unclassified non-coding RNA, 315 nt
Filed under: Fusicolla aquaeductuum
Lineage: Eukaryota; Fungi; Ascomycota; Sordariomycetes; Hypocreales; Nectriaceae
Description: sequence contains 18S rRNA gene, ITS1, 5.8S rRNA gene, ITS2, 28S rRNA gene
Source: RNAcentral